RNAcentral lists this ribosomal RNA (494 nucleotides) under uncultured bacterium. Its description in RNAcentral is "partial 16S ribosomal RNA". It matches the Rfam family "Bacterial small subunit ribosomal RNA", at positions 28 to 507 of the family's 1533-position model. The record is from RNAcentral.
GACGAACGCUGGCGGCGUGCUUAACACAUGCAAGUCGAACGGUGAAGCGCCUUCCUUUUUGGUGGGUGUGGAUGAGUGGCGAACGGGUGAGUAACACGUGAGUAACCUGCCCCCUUCUUCUGGAUAACCGCAUGAAAGUGUGGCUAAUACGGGAUAUUCUGGGUCUGUCGCAUGAUGGGUCUGGGAAAGAUAUUGUUUCGGUGGGGGAUGGGCUCGCGGCCUAUCAGCUUGUUGGUGGGGUGAUGGCCUACCAAGGCGGUGACGGGUAGCCGGCCUGAGAGGGUGGACGGUCACACUGGGACUGAGACGCGGCCCAGACUCCUGCGGGAGGCAGCAGUGGGGAAUAUGGCACAAUGGGCGCAAGGCUGAUGCAGCGACGCCGCGUGAGGGAUGGAGGCCUUCGGGUUGUGAACCUCUUUCGCCAGUGAAGCAGGCCUGCCUCGUUUGUGGGUGGGUUGACGGUAGCUGGAUAAGAAGCGCCGGCUAACUACGUG